Molecule: ribosomal RNA, 607 nt
Filed under: uncultured Bacteroidales bacterium
Lineage: Bacteria; Pseudomonadati; Bacteroidota; Bacteroidia; Bacteroidales
Description: bacterial SSU rRNA
Rfam family: Bacterial small subunit ribosomal RNA
Source: RNAcentral
CUUAACACAUGCAAGUCGAGGGGCAGCAUGGUCUUAGCUUGCUAAGGCUGAUGGCGACCGGCGCACGGGUGAGUAACACGUAUCCAACCUGCCGUCUACUCUUGGCCAGCCUUCUGAAAGGAAGAUAAUCCAGGAUGGCAUCAUGAGUUCACAUGUCCGCAUGAUUAAAGGUAUUUUCCGGUAGACGAUGGGGAUGCGUUCCAUUAGAUAGUAGGCGGGGUAACGGCCCACCUAGUCAACGAUGGAUAGGGGUUCUGAGAGGAAGGUCCCCCACAUUGGAACUGAGACACGGUCCAAACUCCUACGGGAGGCAGCAGUGAGGAAUAUUGGUCAAUGGGCGAUGGCCUGAACCAGCCAAGUAGCGUGAAGGAUGACUGCCCUAUGGGUUGUAAACUUCUUUUAUAAAGGAAUAAAGUCGGGUAUGCAUACCCGUUUGCAUGUACUUUAUGAAUAAGGAUCGGCUAACUCCGUGCCAGCAGCCGCGGUAAUACGGAGGAUCCGAGCGUUAUCCGGAUUUAUUGGGUUUAAAGGGAGCGUAGAUGGAUGUUUAAGUCAGUUGUGAAAGUUUGCGGCUCAACCGUAAAAUUGCAGUUGAUACUGGAUGUCU